RNAcentral lists this ribosomal RNA (496 nucleotides) under uncultured bacterium. Its description in RNAcentral is "bacterial SSU rRNA". It matches the Rfam family "Bacterial small subunit ribosomal RNA", at positions 31 to 518 of the family's 1533-position model. The record is from RNAcentral.
GAACGCUGGCGGCAGGCCUAACACAUGCAAGUCGAACGGUAACAGGAAGAAGCUUGCUCUUGCUGACGAGUGGCGGACGGGUGAGUAAUGUCUGGGAAACUGCCUGAUGGAGGGGGAUAACUACUGGAAACGGUAGCUAAUACCGCAUAACGUCGCAAGACCAAAGAGGGGGACCUUCGGGCCUCUUGCCAUCGGAUGUGCCCAGAUGGGAUUAGCUAGUAGGUGGGGUAACGGCUCACCUAGGCGACGAUCCCUAGCUGGUCUGAGAGGAUGACCAGCCACACUGGAACUGAGACACGGUCCAGACUCCUACGGGAGGCAGCAGUGGGGAAUAUUGCACAAUGGGCGCAAGCCUGACGCAGCCAUGCCGCGUGUAUGAAGAAGGCCUUCGGGUUGUAAAGUACUUUCAGCGGGGAGGAAGGGAGUAAAGUUAAUACCUUUGCUCAUUGACGUUACCCGCAGAAGAAGCACCGGCUAACUCCGUGCCAGCCGCUGC